UACGUAGGGUCCGAGCGUUGUCCGGAAUUACUGGGCGUAAAGAGCUCGUAGGUGGUUUGUCGCGUUGUUCGUGAAAACUCACAGCUUAACUGUGGGCGUGCGGGCGAUACGGGCAGACUUGAGUACUGCAGGGGAGAUUGGAACUCCUGGUGUAGCGGUGGAAUGCGCAGAUAUCAGGAAGAACACCGAUGGCGAAGGCAGAUCUCUGGGCCGUAACUGACGCUGAGGAGCGAAAGCAUGGGGAGCGAACAGG
This 253-nucleotide ribosomal RNA is filed under the name uncultured bacterium. Its description in RNAcentral is "partial 16S ribosomal RNA". It matches the Rfam family "Bacterial small subunit ribosomal RNA", at positions 524 to 776 of the family's 1533-position model. The record is from RNAcentral.